AAACGUAAGAUCACUGUUCUCUCUACAGUUACUGAGCACACAGGAACUCACCAUGGGAUGGAGCUGUAUCAUCCUCUUUUUGGUAGCAAUAGUUACAGGUGUCCACUCCCAGGUCCAACUGCAGCAGUCUGGGGCUGAACUGGUGAGGCCUGGGGCUUCAGUGAAGAUGUCCUGCAAGGCUUCUGGCUACACCUUCACCAGCUACUCGAUGGACUGGGUGAAGCAGAGGCCAGGACAAGGCCUUGAGUGGAUUGGAAGGAUUUAUCCUUUUGAUAGUGAUACUAGGUACAAUCAGAAGUUCAAGGGCAAGGCCACAUUGACUGUAGACAAAUCCUCCAGCACAGCCUACAUGCAGCUCAGCAGCCUGACAUCUGAGGACUCUGCGGUCUAUUUCUGUGCAAGACACAGUGUUGCAACCACAUCCUGAGAGUGU
Mus caroli (Ryukyu mouse) is the source of this 433-nucleotide non-coding RNA. Lineage: Eukaryota; Metazoa; Chordata; Mammalia; Rodentia; Muridae. The record is from the annotation of a RefSeq genome assembly.